Molecule: ribosomal RNA, 462 nt
Filed under: uncultured bacterium
Lineage: Bacteria
Description: bacterial SSU rRNA
Rfam family: Bacterial small subunit ribosomal RNA
Source: RNAcentral
CCUACGGGUGGCUGCAGUCGAGAAUCUUCGGCAAUGGGCGCAAGCCUGACCGAGCGAUGCUGCGUGCUGGAUGAAGGUCUUCGGAUUGUAAACAGCUGUUGGGGGGGAUGAAAUGUAUGGGAGCAAUCUCCUGUAUUUGACAGAGCCCCAGAGAAAGCGCGGGCUAAGUUCGUGCCAGCAGCCGCGGUAAUACGAACUGCGCGAACGUUAUUCGGAUUCACUGGGCUUAAAGGGUGCGUAGGUGGACGAUUAAGUGGGAUGUGAAAUCUUGCGGCUCAACCGUAAGGCUGCAUUUCAUACUGGUCGUCUUGAGUAAGUCAGGGGUGUGUGGAACUGCCAGUGGAGCGGUGAAAUGUGUUGAUAUUGGCAGGAACGCCGGUGGCGAAAGCGACACACUGGGGCUUAACUGACGCUGAGGCACGAAAGCCAGGGGAGCAAACGGGAUUAGAUACCCUAGUAGUC